This 253-nucleotide ribosomal RNA is filed under the name uncultured bacterium. RNAcentral's name for it is "partial 16S ribosomal RNA". It matches the Rfam family "Bacterial small subunit ribosomal RNA", at positions 524 to 776 of the family's 1533-position model. The record is from RNAcentral.
UACGUAGGGGGCAAGCGUUGUCCGGAAUCAUUGGGCGUAAAGCGCGUGUAGGCGGCUCGAUAAGUCUGCUGUGAAAGUUCAGGGCUCAACCCUGAAAUGCCGGUGGAAACUGUCGAGCUAGAGUCCGGAAGAGGCGAGUGGAAUUCCUGGUGUAGCGGUGAAAUGCGCAGAUAUCAGGAGGAACACCAAUGGCGAAGGCAGCUCGCUGGGACGGUACUGACGCUGAGGAGCGAAAGCGUGGGGAGCAAACAGG